UACGUAAGGUGCAAGCGUUGUCCGGAAUUAUUGGGCGUAAAGAGCUCGUAGGCGGUCUGUCGCGUCGAAUGUGAAAACACGAGGCUCAACUUCGUGCCUGCAUUCGAUACGGGCAGACUAGAGUUCGGUAGGGGAGUCUGGAAUUCCUGGUGUAGCGGUGAAAUGCGCAGAUAUCAGGAGGAACACCGGUGGCGAAGGCGGGACUCUGGGCCGAUACUGACGCUGAGGAGCGAAAGCGUGGGGAGCAAACAGG
This 253-nucleotide ribosomal RNA is filed under the name uncultured bacterium. RNAcentral's name for it is "partial 16S ribosomal RNA". It matches the Rfam family "Bacterial small subunit ribosomal RNA", at positions 524 to 776 of the family's 1533-position model. The record is from RNAcentral.